GACCAAUUAAGCCAUACAGAUUACUUAUGUUUCCAACUUAAUUAAAAAUAAACCUACCACAAGUCUCAAAAAAAGAGAA
This 79-nucleotide ribosomal RNA is filed under the name Boana multifasciata (many-banded treefrog). RNAcentral describes it as "partial 16S ribosomal RNA". Lineage: Eukaryota; Metazoa; Chordata; Amphibia; Anura; Hylidae. The record is from RNAcentral.